GGAUAGCUCAGGCAGUAGAGCAUGAGACUUAAUCUCAAGAUUGUGGGUUCAAGCACCACGUUGGGCA
This is a non-coding RNA of Podarcis lilfordi (Lilford's wall lizard), 67 nucleotides long. Lineage: Eukaryota; Metazoa; Chordata; Lepidosauria; Squamata; Lacertidae. The record is from the annotation of a GenBank genome assembly.